CCUUCGGGUUGUAAACCUCUUUCAGCAGGGAAGAAGCAGCCAGGUUUUCUUGGUUGUGACGGUACCUGCAGAAGAAGCACCGGCUAACUACGUGC
This 95-nucleotide ribosomal RNA is filed under the name uncultured bacterium. RNAcentral's name for it is "partial 16S ribosomal RNA". It matches the Rfam family "Bacterial small subunit ribosomal RNA", at positions 415 to 508 of the family's 1533-position model. The record is from RNAcentral.